RNAcentral lists this ribosomal RNA (234 nucleotides) under uncultured bacterium. RNAcentral describes it as "partial 16S ribosomal RNA". It matches the Rfam family "Bacterial small subunit ribosomal RNA", at positions 118 to 347 of the family's 1533-position model. The record is from RNAcentral.
UGAGCAAUCUGCCCUUCUCUUCGGAAUAAGCGUUGGAAACGACGUCUAAUGCCGAAUACGACCUCCUUUCGCAUGAUCGGAGGUGGAAAGCUCCGGCGGAGAAGGAUGAGCUCGCGGCCUAUCAGCUAGUUGGUGUGGGUAAUGGCCCACCAAGGCGACGACAGGUAGCCGGCCUGAGAGGGUGACCGGCCACACUGGGACUGAGACACGGCCCAGACCUCCGUACGGGAGCAG